Molecule: transfer RNA, 84 nt
Filed under: Anaerolineae bacterium
Lineage: Bacteria; Bacillati; Chloroflexota; Anaerolineae
Description: tRNA-Leu
Rfam family: tRNA
About the family: Transfer RNA (tRNA) molecules are approximately 80 nucleotides in length. Their secondary structure includes four short double-helical elements and three loops (D, anti-codon, and T loops). Further hydrogen bonds mediate the characteristic L-shaped molecular structure. tRNAs have two regions of fundamental functional importance: the anti-codon, which is responsible for specific mRNA codon recognition, and the 3' end, to which the tRNAs corresponding amino acid is attached (by aminoacyl-tRNA synthetases). tRNAs cope with the degeneracy of the genetic code in two manners: having more than one tRNA (with a specific anti-codon) for a particular amino acid; and 'wobble' base-pairing, i.e. permitting non-standard base-pairing at the 3rd anti-codon position.
Source: RNAcentral
GGGGCGGUGGCGGAACAGGAAGACGCCGGGGACUUAAAAUCCUCUGUCCGAGAGGACGUGUGGGUUCGAAUCCCACCCGCCCUA